GCCCGGGUGGUGAAAUCGGUAGACACAAGGGAUUUAAAAUCCCUCGGGGGAAACCCCGUGCCGGUUCAAGUCCGGCCCCGGGCA
Rheinheimera nanhaiensis E407-8 is the source of this 84-nucleotide transfer RNA. It matches the Rfam family "tRNA". From Rfam's summary of the family: Transfer RNA (tRNA) molecules are approximately 80 nucleotides in length. Their secondary structure includes four short double-helical elements and three loops (D, anti-codon, and T loops). The record is from Rfam. Lineage: Bacteria; Pseudomonadati; Pseudomonadota; Gammaproteobacteria; Chromatiales; Chromatiaceae.